Molecule: ribosomal RNA, 473 nt
Filed under: uncultured bacterium
Lineage: Bacteria
Description: bacterial SSU rRNA
Rfam family: Bacterial small subunit ribosomal RNA
Source: RNAcentral
UGGGGAAUUGUUCACAAUGGGCGCAAGCCUGAUGACGCAACGCCGCGUGGGGGAUGAAGGUCUUCGGAUCGUAAACCCCUGUCGAAUGGGACGAAAGACUCGCGAGUGAAUACUUCGCGAGAGUGACGGUACCGUUAAAGGAAGCCACGGCUAACUCUGUGCCAGCAGCCGCGGUAAUACAGAGGUGGCAAGCGUUGUUCGGAAUCAUUGGGCGUAAAGAGCUCGUAGGUGGCUUAGUAAGUCAGGUGUGAAAGCCCAGGGCUCAACCCUGGAAGUGCACUUGAAACUGCAUAGCUUGAGUACGGUAGAGGUGAGUGGAAUUCCUGGUGUAGUGGUGAAAUACGUAGAUAUCAGGAGGAACAUCGGUGGCGAAGGCGGCUCACUGGACCAGUACUGACACUGAGGAGCGAAAGCAUGGGGAUCAAACAGGAUUAGAUACCCUCGUAGUCCCUGAGCGGGCUGGCAAGGCGCAU